Molecule: ribosomal RNA, 468 nt
Filed under: uncultured bacterium
Lineage: Bacteria
Description: partial 16S ribosomal RNA
Rfam family: Bacterial small subunit ribosomal RNA
Source: RNAcentral
GACGAACGCUGGCGGCGUGCUUAACACAUGCAAGUCGAACGGAAAGGCCCUGCUUUUGUGGGGUGCUCGAGUGGCGAACGGGUGAGUAACACGUGAGUAACCUGCCCUUGACUUUGGGAUAACUUCAGGAAACUGGGGCUAAUACCGGAUAGGAGCUCCUGCUGCAUGGUGGGGGUUGGAAAUUUUCGGCGGUUGGGGAUGGACUCGCGGCUUAUCAGCUUGUUGGUUGGGUAGUGGCUUACCAAGGCUUUGACGGGUAGCCGGCCUGAGAGGGUGACCGGCCACAUUGGGACUGAGAUACGGACCAGACUCCUACGGGAGGCAGCAGUGGGGAAUCUUGCACAAUGGGAGGAAGCCUGAUGAAGAAACGCCGCGUGCGGGAUGACGGCCUUCGGGUUGUAAACCGCUUUCGCCUGUGACGAAGCGUGAGUGACGGUAAUGGGUAAAGAAGCACCGGCUAACUACGUG